AUCCUGGCUCACGAUGAACGCUAGCGGCAGGCCUAACACAUGCAAGUCGAGGGGUAUAGAGAGCUUGCUUUCUAGAGACCGGCGGAUGGGUGAGUAACGCGUAUGCAACCUACCUUUUACAGGGGAAUAGCCCGGAGAAAUUCGGAUUAAUGCUCCAUGGUUUAUAUGAAUGGCAUCAUUUGUAUAAUAAGGAUUUAUCGGUAAAAGAUGGGCAUGCGUAUCAUUAGCUAGUUGGUGUGGUAACGGCAUACCAAGGCAACGAUGAUUAGGGGUCCUGAGAGGGAGAUCCCCCACACUGGUACUGAGACACGGACCAGACUCCUACGGGAGGCAGCAGUGAGGAAUAUUGGCCAAUGGAGGCAACUCUGAACCAGCCAUGCCGCGUGCAGGAUGACGGUCCUAUGGAUUGUAAACUGCUUUUGUACGGGAAGAAAUGUAAUUACGUGUAAUUAUUUGACGGUACCGUAAGAAUAAGGAUCGGCUAACUCCGUGCCAGCAGCCGCGGUAAUACGGAGGAUCCGAGCGUUAUCCGGAAUUAUUGGGUUUAAAGGGUUCGUAGGCGGUUUAGUAAGUCAGUGGUGAAAUCUUAUAGCUUAACUAUAAAAUUGCCGUUGAUACUGCUAAACUUGAAUAGUAUGGAAGUAAUUAGAAUAUGUAGUGUAGCGGUGAAAUGCUUAGAUAUUACAUGGAAUACCAAUUGCGAAGGCAGAUUACUACGUACUUAUUGACGCUGAUGAACGAAAGCGUGGGUAGCGAACAGGAUUAGAUACUCUGGUAGUCCACGCCGUAAACGAUGGAUACUAGCUGUUCCGGUUUUCGACUGAGGAUUACUACGUACUUAUUGACGCUGAUGAACGAAAGCGUGGGUAGCGAACAGGAUUAGAUACUCUGGUAGUCCACGCCGUAAACGAUGGAUACUAGCUGUUCGGUUUUCGGACUGAGUGGCUAAGCGAAAGUGAUAAGUAUCCCACCUGGGGAGUACGUUCGCAAGAAUGAAACUCAAAGGAAUUGACGGGGGCCCGCACAAGCGGUGGAGCAUGUGGUUUAAUUCGAUGAUACGCGAGGAACCUUACCAAGGCUUAAAUGUAGAUUGACAGGUUUAGAGAUAGACUUUUCUUCGGACAAUUUACAAGGUGCUGCAUGGUUGUCGUCAGCUCGUGCCGUGAGGUGUCAGGUUAAGUCCUAUAACGAGCGCAACCCCUAUUGUUAGUUGCCAGCGAGUAAUGUCGGGAACUCUAACAAGACUGCCGGUGCAAACCGUGAGGAAGGUGGGGAUGACGUCAAAUCAUCACGGCCCUUACGUCUUGGGCUACACACGUGCUACAAUGGCCAGUACAGAAAGCAGCUACCAGGCAACUGGAUGCGAAUCUCAAAAACUGGUCUCAGUUCGGAUUGGAGUCUGCAACUCGACUCCAUGAAGCUGGAAUCGCUAGUAAUCGGAUAUCAGCCAUGAUCCGGUGAAUACGUUCCCGGGCCUUGUACACACCGCCCGUCAAGCCAUGGAAGCUGGGGGUACCUGAAGUCGGUCGCCGCAAGGAGCUGCCUAGGGUAAAACUGGUAACUAGGGCUAAGUCGUAACAAGGUAACCGUAA
Molecule: ribosomal RNA, 1592 nt
Filed under: uncultured bacterium
Lineage: Bacteria
Description: bacterial SSU rRNA
Rfam family: Bacterial small subunit ribosomal RNA
Source: RNAcentral